RNAcentral lists this unclassified non-coding RNA (239 nucleotides) under plant metagenome. RNAcentral's name for it is "partial contains 5.8S ribosomal RNA, internal transcribed spacer 2, and large subunit ribosomal RNA". The record is from RNAcentral.
GGGCAUCGGGCCGAAAACCGGCUCCGGAUGUGCUCGGGUCUAGUGGGCACGCUGCUAUCCGAGGUGGAGCCGGAGAGGAUCGAGUGGCUGUGGCCGGGACGUAUACCCUUGGGCAAGCUGACCGUGGUGGACGGAGAUCCCGGUUUGGGAAAGAGCGCCAUGACGCUCGACAUCGCGACCCGGGUUAGCGCCGGCCUCAAGUUGCCGGAUGGGGAGCAGUGCGAGCCCGCCGGCGUGCU